RNAcentral lists this long non-coding RNA (57 nucleotides) under Rhipicephalus microplus (southern cattle tick). Its description in RNAcentral is "uncharacterized LOC119182909". The record is from RNAcentral. Lineage: Eukaryota; Metazoa; Arthropoda; Arachnida; Ixodida; Ixodidae.
CCACAGCAGUGAAAAGACUCCUGUUGUCAUAUGUAUUUUCUGCCUGUUGGUCCACGG